GAUGAACGCUGGCGGCGUGCCUAAUACAUGCAAGUCGAGCGAACAGACGAGGAGCUUGCUCCUUUGACGUUAGCGGCGGACGGGUGAGUAACACGUGGAUAACCUACCUAUAAGACUGGGAUAACUUCGGGAAACCGGAGCUAAUACCGGAUAACAUGUUGAACCGCAUGGUUCAACAGUGAAAGACGGUCUUGCUGUCACUUAUCGAUGGAUCCGCGCCGCAUUAGCUAGUUGGUAAGGUAACGGCUUACCAAGGCAACGAUGCGUAGCCGACCUGAGAGGGUGAUCGGCCACACUGGAACGGAGCCACGGACCAGACUCCUACGGGAGGCAGCAGUAGGGAAUCUUCCGCAAUGGGCGAAAGCCUGACGGAGCAACGCCGCGUGAGUGAAGAAGGUCUUCGGAUCGUAAAACUCUGUUAUUAGGGAAGAACAAAUUUGUAAGUAACUAUGCACGUCUUGACGGUACCUAAUCAGAAAGCCACGGCUAACUACGUG
This 497-nucleotide ribosomal RNA is filed under the name uncultured bacterium. RNAcentral's name for it is "partial 16S ribosomal RNA". It matches the Rfam family "Bacterial small subunit ribosomal RNA", at positions 28 to 507 of the family's 1533-position model. The record is from RNAcentral.